RNAcentral lists this long non-coding RNA (1087 nucleotides) under Anser brachyrhynchus (Pink-footed goose). RNAcentral's name for it is "lncRNA (ENSABRG00000014295.1)". The record is from RNAcentral. Lineage: Eukaryota; Metazoa; Chordata; Aves; Anseriformes; Anatidae.
CAAAACCUGCCCUUGAAGAAACUGUUUGCACAAACACCUGCAGACCGAAAUCGCCAUCCGUCCUCUUGCUCUUCACCUAGGUCCUCCUUCACCUCUGCCUCCAGGAUCAGCGCUGAGUAGCCAGGAUGCCACACAUCUUUCCAGAGCCCGACACAUCACCGGCCACAAAGCAAAAGGAGAUUUUGGCGAUUUGACUCGGAUGGUUUCCUCGCCUCCACAGAGCCCACGAGGGUUUAGUUUUGGCCCCAGAUCCAAGUGGCCCCAAACCAAAGCCCCGGAUCACCCCACCUCCCUACCACAGGCCUGUAGUCUCCGCAGCGUUGAUUUGUCUCCGAAUUUGGGGCUGGGCCCUCCUCUGGCAUCCCAGCCCUGGAAACCAAGCGAGGAGCGAAGCAACCCUACCCACGUAAUGGGAGGAGUGACGGGAAAAGCAGCUGGCCAGGCGCGGGGUCUUCGCAGUGGGACCUCGCCUGAUAGCACGGCACCAAGAGGGGUUUUCACCUGACGCUGGAAACAAUGCCAUCCAUAGAAGCCCACAUUGUUACCUUGACAUUUGGAAGCAAUUACCUGCAUGUUAUGUAAAACUUUUAUUAAACGACUGGAGAAAUUCGGUAAUGUGUUAAUCAUUGGUUGAAUGACAUCUGCUUAAUACCAGAGAUUUUUGAACUGCAGGAGAAGGGUUCAGCAGUUCAGAAUGAUUACCAAAACAUAUUGCUCCUUUUUUCGUUCUCCUACGUGUUAAUUUUUCAGAUUUAUUAUCUUAGGCUCCUGCGUCUAGUAUUUUCACUACAUGUCAACAUCUGUUAUAUCUCUGCAUUUCACAGCUCUUUAGUCUUUGCCCCAUGAAGCCUUAGGCACUCGGAUGAGAGACGCAGCCCGCUCUAACCCAGGGCUUAUGCAAUUUUCCAAACUAAUCCAAAGGACAAUUACCAGGGAAAUUUGGCUCAGGGAAGCACUUCUGGCAUCAAAAAGGGAUCGGUAGAUGGACUCAAACCCAAAGCAACCGGUCAGGUUUAGAGACAAACUUGGCUGUCAGGACGAGACUUGGGAAGUCUGGGGAGCUGUGAGGCCGCCGCUCCUUGAGAAC